This 253-nucleotide ribosomal RNA is filed under the name uncultured bacterium. RNAcentral's name for it is "partial 16S ribosomal RNA". It matches the Rfam family "Bacterial small subunit ribosomal RNA", at positions 524 to 776 of the family's 1533-position model. The record is from RNAcentral.
GACGAGGGAUCCUAGCGUUGCUCGGAAUCAUUGGGCGUAAAGCGGGUGUAGGUGGCUUGGUAAGUCGGGUGUGAAAGCCCAGGGCCCAACCCUGGAAGUGCAUUCGAUACUGCUAAGCUUGAGUGCUAGAGAGGUUAAUAGAAUACCUGGUGUAGUGGUGAAAUACGUAGAUAUCAGGUGGAACACCGGAGGCGAAGUCGGUUAACUGGCUAGACACUGACACUGAGACCCGAAAGUGCGGGGAUCAAACAGG